Long non-coding RNA from Solanum lycopersicum (tomato), 738 nucleotides. RefSeq lists it as uncharacterized. NCBI's taxonomy places the organism in Eukaryota, Viridiplantae, Streptophyta, Magnoliopsida, Solanales, Solanaceae. The record is from RefSeq and is a predicted model, not a curated record.
GUUGUCUCACAAGUCACAACAUCCGGCCCCUCAACAUGGCUUCUGCUUUCCUUACCUGCUUCAGGGGUCCAAUGAUGAAAACCUGAUCAAAUGAGAAGAUUGGUGUUAUACAUAUCAGAUCAACAUCCCUCAACCUGCAGGCAGGCAGGCAGUUUAACAAGUGCAGACGAUUACUAUAGGAUCCUUUUCGAAUAAAAUGUUUUGAAAGGAUAAACUGAGACUCAUCCGGAGCUGGCCUUGGAGUGAGGACAGAAAACCUUGGGCCAGAAGUAUGAGGCUCUUGUCUCGCAAGACUUGGCCUCAAGCAUCCAGACAUGCGCCGUGAACAAGCCCAACACCCAAUGUGGCUCAUCCCAUCUUUUCUCCGCAAUUAGGUGUAAUUAGCCUAGAUCUACAAAUUUCUUCACUAAUCCUGGACUCGCUAUUCUAAAGUUUAAAACUUGGUUGCAUCUAAAACCAAAAAUACAAUAAUGACAAGAGUGGUCCAUUUUUUUUCCUUCUAAUAACCAUGGUAUCUGGACUAGCUUGCGCCUCAACUAAUUCCUGGGGAAAUUGCUACCUCGCUUCUCAUCAUCACUAGUAUUGGGUAGCUCUGGUCACCAAUGCUUGGACAAAUGUGAAGAAUUCAUCUAGACUACUGUUUUAGCCUCUGCUGAGGCUCGAAUUAUAGUACUAAACAUAUUUCAAGAAACAAAAAUUCUCCUUCACAUAUAAAAGUGUAUGGCUUGUUUUUUACCA